AGCGAACGCUGGCGGCAUGCCUAACACAUGCAAGUCGCACGGGGGGGCUUCGGCCUCCCAGUGGCGGACGGGUGAGGAACGCGUAGGGACCUGUCGAGGGGUGGGGGAUAACCGCGGGAAACUGCGGCUAAUACCGCAUGACGCCGCGGCGUGACAGCCGGGGCCAAAGGCGAAAGCCGCCCGCCGAGGGGCCUGCGUCCGAUUAGCUGGUUGGCGGGAUAGCGGCCCACCAAGGCGUCGAUCGGUAGCUGGUCUGAGAGGGUGAUCAGCCACACCGGGACUGAGACACGGCCCGGACUCCUACGGGAGGCAGCAGUGGGGAAUAUUGGACAAUGGGCGCAAGCCUGAUCCAGCAAUGCCGCGUGGGUGAAGAAGGUCUUCGGAUUGUAAAGCCCUUUCGGCGGGGACGAUGGUGACGGUACCCGCAGAAGAAGCCCCGGCUAACUUCGUG
This 451-nucleotide ribosomal RNA is filed under the name uncultured bacterium. RNAcentral describes it as "partial 16S ribosomal RNA". It matches the Rfam family "Bacterial small subunit ribosomal RNA", at positions 28 to 507 of the family's 1533-position model. The record is from RNAcentral.